This 1881-nucleotide ribosomal RNA is filed under the name Biuterina sp. AW-2013. RNAcentral describes it as "partial 28S ribosomal RNA". It matches the Rfam family "Eukaryotic large subunit ribosomal RNA", at positions 44 to 961 of the family's 3401-position model. The record is from RNAcentral. Lineage: Eukaryota; Metazoa; Platyhelminthes; Cestoda; Cyclophyllidea; Paruterinidae.
CAAUAAGCGGAGGAGAAGAAACUAACCAGGAUUCCCUUAGUAACGGCGAGUGAAGAGGGAGGAGCCCAGCACCGAAGCCUGCGGCAGGUUUGCUGUUAGGCCAUGUGGUGUGCGGGCCGAUUGGCGGGGCCGCCGCUCCACUCGAAGUCCAGCAUUGAGUAUGGUUAUCAGCGGAUUUGGCCCAGAGAGGGUGAGAGGCCCGUGCGAGUGGGGGUUCAGACAUGUGAGGCGGUUCACCAGGUCGGCCUCAGAGUCGGGUUGUUUGAGAUUGCAGCCCAAAGUGGGUGGUAAACUCCAUCCAAGGCUAAAUACAGGCUCGAGUCCGAUAGCGAACAAGUACCGUGAGGGAAAGUUGAAAAGUACUCUGAAGAGAGAGUAAACAGUACGUGAAACCGCAUGCAGGUAAACGGGUGGCGUCAAGCUGCGAGCCCGGGGAAUUCAGCUGGCUGGAUUGUAGUGUGCGCGCCUGGUGCGUCAAGUGGCCGGAGUAAGAUGUGGCGGUCCGUCCCUUGUGCGUGGAUGGGGCGCGGUUGCGAUGGCGGGUUGGUGGUCUCUCGCCGAUCUGUUGUCGCCGCCGUCGCUAUGCGUGCCGUUUGGGUGGCGGAGCAUGCCGUCGGUCUGUGGGGCCGUCUGGUCAGUGCAUUUUCUCCGUGGUGAAUGCCACGACCGGUGGGAUUGCCAGUCUGCCGUGGUCAAGUCGUGCCGCCGCCGUCAUUGCUAUGACGAGGUGGGCGCGAUCGCAGGCGGAGGGAGCGCACGGCGUAGUGGCGCCUCGGUGUCGCUACGUGCUAUCGUGCGUUCACCGCCAGCGAGUCGUUGUGCUCUGUCGUGCUGUGGCCGCGAUACUGUUGCCAGCGUCUCGGCGGGCCACGGUGGUGUAGGUGACUGUGCAAGGCACCGAGUUUGUCCACCUCAUCUGGCUGGUGUCGCUAGCCAGCUCCUCGUGGGCUGGUUGGUUGGCUGGCUAGCCAGUUAGGGUACCCGGCGAGCACGUCACAGGUGAGAGGCGAGGCACGCCGCUGCGUGUGUGCGUUGGGUGUGAUUGUCGUGUUGCUCGCAGAAAGCGGGUCCGACGGUGGCCCGGCCCACGUAUGUCGGCGGUUGGCGGGUGCCUCGUGCGCAUGAGGUACCGGGGGUGCGAUAGUCAGUGGUACUGUGGUAGACGAGCUACCCGACCCGUCUUGAAACACGGACCAAGGAGUUUAACAUGCGUGCGAGUCAAAGGGUCCUACGAAACCUUGAGGCGCAGUGAAAGUGAGGUCCGCCGCUUCUCUGUGGGCGGCGGCGAGGUGAGAUCCCGCUGUGUAUCUGUAGGUUGCUCGCUGUACUGUUUCAGGCCAGCUGGCUAGUUGGGGCGGUGGACGUAUGGGCGGAUGGAGGGAUGGGCGGAUGGAGGAAUGGACGUACGGACGGGUGGGUGAGCGGGUGUCCSAUUGUCUGCCUGUCUGUCUCCGAUUGUCUGUCUGUCUGUCUGUCUGUCUGUCUGUCUGUCUGUCUGUCUGUCUGUCUCCUCCGUUGUCCCUCUGGCUGGACCAGGUGAAGAGCGGUGGGCGCAUCACCGGCCCGUCCCAUGAUGUGGUUGUUGGUAAGCGACGUUGUCGCGCGCGUGUGUGUGCGCGCAUCAUCGCCUUGCAUGCAUUCGUGUGUGCAUGGGGUGGUGGGCUGGCACCGCGUCGGCCGUGACUGCGUCAGCCAAUGCGUCAUCGGGGCGGAGCAUGAGCACGCAUGUUGAGACCCGAAAGAUGGUGAACUAUGCUUGCGUAGGUUGAAGCCAGAGGAAACUCUGGUGGAGGACCGUAGCGAUUCUGACGUGCAAAUCGAUCGUCAAACGCGAGUAUAGGGGCGAAAGACUAAUCGAACCAUCUAGUAGCUGGUUCCCUC